CCUACGGGAGGCAGCAGUGGGGAAUAUUGGGCAAUGGGCGCAAGCCUGACCCAGCAAAGUCGCGUGAAGGAAGAAGGAUUUCGGGUUGUAAACUUCUUUUGUCAGGGAAGAGUAGAAGACGGUACCUGACGAAUAAGCCACGGCUAACUACGUGCCAGUAGCCGCGGUAAUACGUAGGUGGCAAGCGUUGUCCGGAUUUACUGGGUGUAAAGGGCGUGUAGCCGGGGUGACAAGUCAGAUGUGAAAUCCUGCGGCUUAACCGCAGAACUGCAUUUGAAACUGUUGAUCUUGAGUACUGGAGAGGCAGAUGGAAUUCCUAGUGUAGCGGUGAAAUGCGUAGAUAUUAGGAGGAACACCAGUGGCGAAGGCGGUCUGCUGGACAGCAACUGACGGUGAGGCGCGAAAGCGUGGGGAGCAAACAGGAUUAGAUACCCCGGUAGUC
Molecule: ribosomal RNA, 442 nt
Filed under: uncultured bacterium
Lineage: Bacteria
Description: partial 16S ribosomal RNA
Rfam family: Bacterial small subunit ribosomal RNA
Source: RNAcentral